GAUGAACGCUGGCGGCGUGCCUAAUACAUGCGAGUCGAGCGAACAGACGAGGAGCUUGCUCCUCUGACGUUAGCGGCGGACGGGUGAGUAACACGUGAAUAACCUACCUAUAAGACUGGGAUAACUUCGGGAAACCGGAGCUAAUACCGGAUAAUAUAUUGAACCGCAUGGUUCAAUAGUGAAAGACGGUUUUGCUGUCACUUAUAGAUGGAUCCGCGCCGCAUUAGCUAGUUGGUAAGGUAACGGCUUACCAAGGCAACGAUGCGUAGCCGACCUGAGAGGGUGAUCGGCCACACUGGAACUGAGACACGGUCCAGACUCCUACGGGAGGCAGCAGUAGGGAAUCUUCCGCAAUGGGCGAAAGCUUGACGGAGCAACGCCGCGUGAGUGAUGAAGGUCUUCGGAUCGUAAAACUCUGUUAUUAGGGAAGAACAAAUGUGUAAGUAACUAUGCACGUCUUGACGGUACCUAAUCAGAAAGCCACGGCUAACUACGUG
This 497-nucleotide ribosomal RNA is filed under the name uncultured bacterium. RNAcentral's name for it is "partial 16S ribosomal RNA". It matches the Rfam family "Bacterial small subunit ribosomal RNA", at positions 28 to 507 of the family's 1533-position model. The record is from RNAcentral.